GGAGUUCGAUUCUGGCUCAGAUUGAACGCUGGCGGGAUGCUUUACACAUGCAAGUCGAACGGCAGCACGGACUUCGUCCUGGUGGCGAGUGGCGAACGGGUGAGUAAUGUAUCCGGAACGUGCCUAGUAGCCCCGCAUGAGGGAUAACUACGCGAAAGCGUAUCAGCCACCGCAUACGCCCUUCGGGGAAAGCAGGGGGACCUUCGGGCCUCGCACUGGCCGACAGCCGAUAUCGGAUUGGCUGAAUUGGUGGGGUAACGGCUCACCAAGGCGACGAUCCGUAGCUGGUUUGAGGAAGGACGACCAGCCACCCUGGGACUACAGGUUACGGCCCAGACUCCUACGAGGCAGCGGUGGGAAUUUUGGACAAUGGGGAAACCUGAUCCAGCCAUCGCAUUAUUGCGAUGAAGGCCUUCGGGUUGUAAGCACUUGCGGCAGGAAAGAAACGGCCUGGGAUAUUACCCCGUGCAACUGACAGUACCUGCAGAUAAGCACCGGCUAACUACGUGCCAGCAGCCGCGGUAAUACGUAGGGUGCAAAGGCGUUAAUCGGAAUUACUGGGCGUAAAGCGUGCGCAGGCGGUUCGGAAGAAAGAUGUGAAAUCCCGGGCUGCUUUGGAACUGCAUUUUUAACUACCGAGCUAGAGUGUGUCAGGGAAAUUUGAAUUCCCGCCGAUAGCAGUGAAAUGCCGUAGAUAUGCGGAGGAACACACCGAUGGCGAAGGCAGCCUCCUGGGAUAACACUGACGCUCAUGCACGAAAAGCGUGGGGAGCAAACAGGAUUAGAUGCCCUGGUAGUCCACGCCCUAAACGAUGUCAACUAGCUGUUGGGGCCUUCCGGGCCUUGGUAGAAGCGCAACUAACGCGUGAAGUUGACCGCCUGGGGAGAGUACGGUCGCAAGAUUAAAACUCAAAGGAAUUGACGGGACCCACAAGCGGUGGAUGAUGUGGAUUAAUUCGAUGCAACGCGAAAAACCGCCACCUACCCUUGACAUGUCACGAUCCCGAAAGAGAUUUGGGAGUGCUCGCAAGAGAACCGGAACACAGGUGCUGCAUGGCUGUCGUCAGCUCGUGUCGUGAGAUGUUGGGUUAAGUCCCGCAACGAGCGCAACCCUUGUCAUUAGUUGCUACAGAAAGGGCACUCCUAAUGAGACUGCCGGUGACAAACCGGAGGAAGGUGGGGAUGGCGUCAAGUCCUCACAUGGCCCUUAUGGUGGGGCUUCACACGUCAUACAAUGGUCGGGACAGAGGGUCGCCAACCCGCGAGGAGCCAAUCCCGAAACCCGAUCGUAGUCCGGAUCGCAGUCUGCAACUCGACUGCGUGAAGUCGGAAUCGCUAGUAAUCGCGGAUCAGCAUGUCGCGGUGAAUACGUUCCCGGGUCUUGUACACACCGCCCGUCACACCAUGGGAGUGGGUUUUACCCGAAGUAGUUAGCCUAACCGUAGGGGGCGAUUACCUGAUAGGAUUCAUGACUGGGGUGAAGUCCUUAACUACAAGGUAG
RNAcentral lists this ribosomal RNA (1501 nucleotides) under uncultured Bordetella sp. RNAcentral's name for it is "partial 16S-23S ribosomal RNA intergenic spacer". It matches the Rfam family "Bacterial small subunit ribosomal RNA". The record is from RNAcentral. Lineage: Bacteria; Pseudomonadati; Pseudomonadota; Betaproteobacteria; Burkholderiales; Alcaligenaceae.